Non-coding RNA from Triticum aestivum (bread wheat), 125 nucleotides. NCBI's taxonomy places the organism in Eukaryota, Viridiplantae, Streptophyta, Magnoliopsida, Poales, Poaceae. The record is from Rfam.
UACCUACUCCCUCCGUCCGGAAAUACUUGUCGCAUAAAUGGAUGAAAAUGGAUGUAUCUAGAAUUAAAAUACAUCUAGAUACAUUCAUUUUAAUGACAAGUACUUCCAGACGGAGGGAGUAUUAA